CAAUAGCGUAUAUUUAAGUUGCUGCAGUUAAAAAGCUCGUAGUUGGAUUUCGGGUGGGAAUGGCCGGUCCGCCGUUUCGGUGUGCACUUGCUACGCCCACCUUGCUGCCGGGGACGUGCUCUUGAGUUCACGCUCGGGACACGGAGUCGGCGAGGUUACUUUGAGUAAAUUAGAGCGUUCAAAGCAGGCCUACGCUCUGAAUACAUUAGCAUGGAAUAACACGAUAGGACUCUGGCCUAUCUUGUUGGUCUGUAGGACCGGAGUAACGAUUAAGAGGGACAGUCGGGGGCAUUCGUAUUUCAUUGUCAGAGGUGAAAUUCUUGGAUUUAUGAAAGACGAACUACUGCGAAAGCAUUUGCCAAGAGUGUUUUCAUUAA
RNAcentral lists this ribosomal RNA (377 nucleotides) under uncultured eukaryote. RNAcentral's name for it is "partial 18S ribosomal RNA". It matches the Rfam family "Eukaryotic small subunit ribosomal RNA", at positions 592 to 976 of the family's 1831-position model. The record is from RNAcentral.